CUCUCUCCACCACCCUCGACUUAUCCUCUUCUCUGCCUUUUCACUCAAAAAACAUUUCCCAUUGCCGCCGCCACCACCACCGCCGUCUGAAAUGGCAUACCUACUCCAAAUCAAUACCCCAGGAGGAUUACUCGAUCUCAACGUACGCCUAUCUAAUCACAAAAACCAUCUGCCAGAGAAAUAUGCUUGGAAAUCAAUGAUAGCCAAAAUGAAAAUUGUUCAGUAAAUGGAGAUGAUAUUGAAGAAGAUCUGAGAAGACAAGCUCAGAUCGUUUGAAUGGACAUAGAAGUGCAGUCGAGUUGAACUGGAAUCUGUGUUUACGAAGAAGAUCGUGUGAGAUGUGAAGCUGAAUGUGAUGUAUGGAGAUGAAUUUUAAAAUUAUCAAAUUUGAUUGGUAGUGUGAAGAUUCUCCACUUAAAAGACUAGUGAUUUUUGGUUUGUCAGUAUUGUUGUUAAAAGAGUUACUUGUAAGAAAAAUGUUUCCAGCCGGUGGAUGAUUUCUAAAAUUGAGAAGCCCCAUUUUCUUAUCCUCGGAGGAGCUCAUGUGUAUCAACUGGUUAUCAAGUUUAGAGAUCAUAUGGCAGCAGGAAACAUUUCAUUUGAAGCACAUGGGAGUGUUGGGAAGGGAGUAAGGAAAUAGGUGAAGACACUUAUGUUCUUUCAAGAGUGCCCCAAGUCAUUGGGUUGUACUGUUCCAUAACAUUGUCGCUUGGUUUCGAUAUGCGUUGAUUGACGUUCACUCAGUAGACCUUCCACCCUCAAAACUUGAUUUCAGCUACGUAAAUCCAGAAUGGGUAAAGAAAGAGGUCAAUCUGGUUCAGUGACUACAAACCGAGAUAGCGACGAAUAUACUUGAAAUUAAUCGAUUGAGAGUGCAGUUGCUCUUCCAUUCGUAUGUGUGGGACCAACGACUGAUUCCUGCAGCAAAAUUAUACAACAACAGACACCAGGAAGGGCUCAACAGCUCUAUACAAGAAUAUAUGGAGGAGUCUAUAAGUACUGCAGAUAAGCUUGUAUCAACAAACUCAACUUCCAGGCAAGGUGGUAAAGAUUCUCCCAGUUUUGACUCCGUACUUACAGAUCAAGAUGUGAUAAAAAAUUGCAAGCUGGAAGGAAGUGGUGAGCAGGUGGAUUCAUUCCAAAUCAUAACACCCCAGAGCCACAUCUUUUAUCUAGCUUAAGUUUAAAUGCCCAGGCCGAUCCUUUGGAACCUGGAAUACAUGUGCGGAGGGCAAAUUGAGAAAGUCAGUUCCCGAUUGUACUGAACCUUGAUGCAGCAUGGAAUGUUGAAAACAUGCCAGGGAGUACGAUAUUGGAAAUUAAGGGUGAAGUGGCAGCAGAUUCAAUCAGUGCAAGAAGCCCAACUUGGCUGGCAAAAUUUUUGGGUGUCUAUCAGUUUUCUGGGUUCAGGAGGAACCUCAUUUAUCUUCAACGCUGCUGUCUUCAACCUCUUGGCAAACUCAGAACAUUGCAUUGCAGCUUUAUGAUCCAUCUGUACGAAUCCGUCAGUGCGGUCCCUGCCUAGAAUGUGGUUAAGCAAGAAAUGAAGCUGAUCUGGGUCGAUAAUCGACAUGUUCUCCCUGGGCCUGGUGAUUUUGCAAGUCCCAUUUACCUUGACACUGUUGGCGAGAUAGUCAGCUGCGAAGUUGGCUUCCCUUGGCAGAGGUGUGAAGCUGAUGUGAUGAUCCCAGUUCCGUCUCCCAUUUGAGCUUACGAUCUGCGCGUCAAUAGAUUUCAUAAUGCUUUGGUAUAGGACCAGAUAUUUCUUCUCAUACAAGUUCAACUGUAAUAGGGGAUCCAUGUCAUGUAUGUGAGGUCGUAGUCUAUCAUCAUCCAAUAUUUUUAUCACGAACCUAUUAUGAAUAUUAUCGGUUGAAAUUUCAAGUGGUAGCCAAUCUGUCCCCA
Papaver somniferum (opium poppy) is the source of this 1905-nucleotide long non-coding RNA. RefSeq lists it as uncharacterized. The transcript has 5 exons. NCBI's taxonomy places the organism in Eukaryota, Viridiplantae, Streptophyta, Magnoliopsida, Ranunculales, Papaveraceae. The record is from RefSeq and is a predicted model, not a curated record.